GAUGCUAUUUCUAGAGAUAGAAAGUUACUUCGGUACAUCGGUGACAGGUGGUGCAUGGUUGUCGUCAGCUCGUGUCGUGAGAUGUUGGGUUAAGUCCCGCAACGAGCGCAACCCCUAUUGUUAGUUGCCAUCAUUCAGUUGGGCACUCUAGCGAGACUGCCGGUAAUAAACCGGAGGAAGGUGGGGAUGACGUCAAAUCAUCAUGCCCCUUAUGACCUGGGCUACACACGUGCUACAAUGGUUGGUACAACGAGUUGCGAGUCGGUGACGGCGAGCUAAUCUCUUAAAGCCAAUCUCAGUUCGGAUUGUAGGCUGCAACUCGCCUACAUGAAGUCGGAAUCGCUAGUAAUCGCGGAUCAGCACGCCGCGGUCGAAUACGUUCCCGGGCCUU
RNAcentral lists this ribosomal RNA (391 nucleotides) under uncultured Streptococcus sp. RNAcentral describes it as "bacterial SSU rRNA". It matches the Rfam family "Bacterial small subunit ribosomal RNA", at positions 991 to 1382 of the family's 1533-position model. Lineage: Bacteria; Bacillati; Bacillota; Bacilli; Lactobacillales; Streptococcaceae. The record is from RNAcentral.